GAGGAGUGGCUGAGUGGUCGAAAGCGGCGGUCUUGAAAACCGUUGUGCAGUAAUGUACCGUGGGUUCGAAUCCUACCUCCUCC
This 83-nucleotide transfer RNA is filed under the name marine eukaryotic metagenome. It matches the Rfam family "tRNA". From Rfam's summary of the family: Transfer RNA (tRNA) molecules are approximately 80 nucleotides in length. Their secondary structure includes four short double-helical elements and three loops (D, anti-codon, and T loops). Further hydrogen bonds mediate the characteristic L-shaped molecular structure. tRNAs have two regions of fundamental functional importance: the anti-codon, which is responsible for specific mRNA codon recognition, and the 3' end, to which the tRNAs corresponding amino acid is attached (by aminoacyl-tRNA synthetases). tRNAs cope with the degeneracy of the genetic code in two manners: having more than one tRNA (with a specific anti-codon) for a particular amino acid; and 'wobble' base-pairing, i.e. permitting non-standard base-pairing at the 3rd anti-codon position. The record is from RNAcentral.